UACGUAGGGUGCAAGCGUUGUCCGGAAUCAUUGGGCGUAAAGAGCGUGUAGGCGGCCCGGUAAGUCUGUUGUGAAAGUCCAGGGCUCAACCCUGGAAUGCCGAUGGAUACUGCCGGGCUAGAGUUCGGAAGAGGCGAGUGGAAUUCCUGGUGUAGCGGUGGAAUGCGCAGAUAUCAGGAGGAACACCUAUAGCGAAGGCAGCUCGCUGGGACGACACUGACGCUGAGACGCGAAAGCGUGGGGAGCGAACAGG
Molecule: ribosomal RNA, 253 nt
Filed under: uncultured bacterium
Lineage: Bacteria
Description: partial 16S ribosomal RNA
Rfam family: Bacterial small subunit ribosomal RNA
Source: RNAcentral